GGAAUCAGAUUCUGCAUAUAUUUCCAAGUUAACAUGAACAAGAUUUUCUGAAAGACUGCUAUGGAGUCUGAGAAAAAAUGUCAAAGGUAGUGCCAAAAUUGUCACUUAAAGAACUGCAGGAAUGGAGUUGGCAUUUACAGAAUUUGGAAGAGAAGCAGGUUUAGUGAUAAAGACCAGAAGCACAGAGCUAAGCAUAUUAAAUUCAUUAACAUUUAUGUGUGUGUGUACACAUAUGCACAUGAACACUGGAUAUGCGAAUGCACAGAUUGAGGACAUGAAGAGGAAAGAACUGACAGAGGAGGUGAAGAAAGGUGAUCAGGAAGAGCCAUCAAAGUGUUAUCCUGGAAUUCAAGUGAAGACAGUGUUUCAAAGUGGAAAUGAACAGUGUCCUGUAACCCUCAGAGUGAGACUAGAGUCAGAAUGCAGGCUUUUCUCAUUUGAAAUCUCAAGGUAAGUCCAGGUCCUUACCUCCACCUAAAAGUUCUGCCAUCAAGGAACAUCUGCUCAUUAUCUUCUGUUCACACAUCAAAUGACUUCAAUGUGAUCCCUGGAUGUUCUCCAAAGAGCUGAAGGGAAAUAAAUAUUCUUUCUUUAUCACCAAAUACUUCAACUGCAGAGUGAUUGUGCUACCAAGGCCUGAAACUUCGGAAAAACCUGCAUAACACAAAAUAUAAAAUAUGCCACAGAGAGGAUCCAGAGAGCCCAUCUCCGGUCAGUUAUCUGUAUUUGUAUGUCAACUACAGCAUCAAAAAGCAUAGGCAUGGAUACUAAGGACCCCCUCUGUACACCAACGCCAGUCCAAAGGACAGUGUGUCACUGUGAACUGGAAAUUCAUCUCUCUUCUUCAAUUUUUUUCUACCUACUUUAUGCUUUAUCUCUAAGUUGAGGCUGUUUAUGGCCUCAUCCUCAAUUACCUUGUCCCUCAUUACUCCCAGUUAAUGGAGAUUAAGCUUUGUAUCAUGACUUCCUAACUAAAAUUGAAAUCACAAGACAUCACAUAAAUAAAGUUACAAAUGGAUUAGAUAAA
RNAcentral lists this long non-coding RNA (1027 nucleotides) under Homo sapiens (human). Its description in RNAcentral is "long intergenic non-protein coding RNA 2790". Lineage: Eukaryota; Metazoa; Chordata; Mammalia; Primates; Hominidae. The record is from RNAcentral.